RNAcentral lists this long non-coding RNA (2734 nucleotides) under Cyanistes caeruleus (blue tit). RNAcentral's name for it is "lncRNA (ENSCCEG00000023309.1)". Lineage: Eukaryota; Metazoa; Chordata; Aves; Passeriformes; Paridae. The record is from RNAcentral.
CCACACUCUCCCUUGGUCAAAUGUUGACAGUUCAGUGGCUCCAGGAAAGAUCAUAAGAAUACUUAGGCUCUUUGGACAACAGUUUCUGUCUGUAGAUACUAUUUAAAACAUAAUUAGGUGUGGCAAUCAAAUGGCAGUAGGAGAGUCAGAAACAGAGAGGUGUGUGUUGGCAGGUCAGUGAGAGCAGGAGAAGUUCAGUCCCAGUGUCCUUGUGCCAGACUAACAUUCUGUGUGCUAGUCCUGAAAGCACCUUUGAGAAACAGUGAUUGUCUGUGUGCUGACAUAGCUGUUCUUUCUACUUGCCCACUCAAGAAGUUCUACAAGCCUUCAAGGGACGUGGAGAGCAUGAAAGUGUGUAAGAUCUUAUGAGAAGACCUGCAGGAAUGAAACAGAGGGGGUUAAAGUUUGAUGAUGUGACUUCUAUAUAAUGCACUUUCUUUGGUGGGAGGAAGAGGAUUUUCCAAAAGAGAAUAAAAAACAUGAAGUAUUUCAAACUGCCCCUCAAAACCACCAUGCUCAGAGCCUGAAAGGAUCACUUACCUCUGAGAGCACUCCAGAUAACUGUCAAGAAGCCAGAGCAGAGAACAGAAGAGGAAAAGAAGUUUGCAAAAAGCUGCUUUCAGGAGAUAGAAAGCUCUCAAACUUACAGCUGAAGACUGCAAUUUCUUAUGGCUGAAAUGGCUCACUUUAGAUGUGUACUAGUUAUCUUCUGAAUGUAAACUGGUCUGAUAACCCCAUGUUUUUGGCUGUUGACAAAGCUGUUAUCGCAUCUGAGGUGUUCUGUACAUCGGAGAUGGAGGAAGUGGGAACCUUCUUGACCUUAUUUCUACUGAGAACAGAUGAUCUGUGGAAAGAGGGCUUUACCAGUUUAAAAUCAAUAUCCUCACAAUAAUUUGGUGCAUGUACAUGUUUUUCAUGUCAGGUGCUUGUGCGUGUCUAACUUUGUACAUGAUAGAAGCCAUAAAAUUACCUCUCACUGGCCUAGCCAUAUUUUUUAUUGUCUCCUACCACUGUACUCAUUGUUUUUUGGGAAUGGGACAAUCAUUUUAACAUGUUCUCGUUUUCUACUUUUCUGCCUUUCUCCUGUUGCCUCUUUCUCAUACCCAGAGCAGCACAGAAACAGAUUUCUUACUUUAAAAAGACUUCUCCAUCCUCAGUUUCCCAUGCUUUGGGGUUUUCUCUUUGCUUUAUUGUGCUGGACUUUGAUUUCUUACAUGACUGAAAUGUAAGAUAUUUUGCUUAAGGAGUGGGAAAUAUUGGGAUGGGCUCCACUGCCCCCUUCACUCCAGAAGUCCUCAGAGGAAUUACCUACCACAGGUUCUGCUCCUGCACCUGUAUCUCCACACAGGCCAGCACAAGCACAGAACUGUGCUGAUGCUCUUUGUGUACCAGCAUGUUAUCAGUACAAAGUUAUUGCUGUGAAUCCAGAUCAGUCUGUGGGUCUGCCCCACUGUGUCCCCACAAAUGACUCUUUGGGCACAGCUUGAAAGAGAGCACAGGAAACAGCCAGAAAGUUCUUAAUGUUCAACUUUUAGUUUGUGAUUCUGUAUUGAGUUCAGGUGCCCUGGUGUGGUUGGCCCUGUGCAGGACACAGCUGGUUCCAAGCAGCUCAGCAACAGCCCCACCAUGGGACACAGCUGAGCACAUCGGUGAAGCUGGGGCACCUCUGUGGCAGUGUCUGUAAGAAAGGGCAAAAUGCUGCAUGGCAGAGAGGAGUGAGGAAGAAGGUGAAAGAGUUCUCUGAGCACCCAAGUCAGAAAAGAAGAAGAGGGAGGAAUUGCUUCUGGUGCUGGAAAUUCGGACCACAGAGGAUCACAUGCCAGAGCAGGUGCAGAUUUUUCUGAAGGAACUGCAGUCUGUGGAGAGGAGCCAUGCCAGAACAGGCUUCUGCUGAAGGACUGCAGCCUGUGGAGAGAGCCCAUGAUGGAGUGACAGAAAGAAGCUGUUACAGACUGACUGCAACACCCAUGUUCCACUUUGCCCUGUGCUGCCUUGGACAAGGGGAGACAGAGAAGUUGGGGCUUCAAAGUGUAAAAGAGGGCAACAGAAUGGAAUGUGCUGUUUUAAUUUGCUUUUGUUUCUUAGUGAUUUAAUCUAUUUUAAUUGGCAAAAAAUUAAAUUGGCUUUCCUCAUAUUGAUUCAAAUAUUGAAAUUUACAUCUGGAUGCCAGUCAUGGUGGAAAAUCCUGAUUUCUGUUUGAUCACUGCAAGUCAUUAUUGCCUUUAAUUUUUAAGUAAUCAAAUUUUAAUUUUUAAGGAUUCAUUCUGUGUGAAGAAAGUAGUGUACCUUGUCUGAAUCAGUAAUUACAUUUCUGGAUGUAUUCUGGUUAGGCCUUUCAAGUUCAGUGUACUCACCUCUUCACUAGAGUAGAUCUCGGCGAUGAAAUAACUCAGGAACAUGUCUAAUCUGUUACAUUUCAGCUGGAAAAGAAUACCAGCCAUAUUUUUACAGGUUUGAGCAUGGGAGAGUCAUUCUGAGGAGAUGAUGCUGCAGCAUUAUUUACUUUGGUAAAGCUGUUUUUACAGGUGUUAAGGAUGUGGCAUCUUCCCAGUGUUGUCUAGCAGUGCUUCAGAAUGGGGCAAAGUUUGUGGUGAGUGGCAUCUUCAGUGAAAGUGCUGUUAACUUUGGGCAAAGAAAUAAGCAGAGUUUGUGAAUGGGAUUUAUACUCUUGUGCUUUUCAGAGAUUAUUUAGGAAAAUAAUAAAAGUAAUAAGAAUCAUAAGUAAUAGUAAAGU